Molecule: long non-coding RNA, 804 nt
Organism: Photinus pyralis (common eastern firefly)
Lineage: Eukaryota; Metazoa; Arthropoda; Insecta; Coleoptera; Lampyridae
Exons: 2
Source: RefSeq, a predicted model, not a curated record
AUCCGUUUGUUUCAAUUAAUUUUACAUUUCCAUUACAUAAUUUAUCUCCUUCCUGUGUAUAACGAAAAAAUACAGUGUAUGAUAUCAAAUCUCGAAAAACCACUUAAUUUUUAAUGUGCCGUUUCUGACCACAUAAUUACUGACUCCGCAUGAUACCAAAUAUUAUUUCAAGAUUAAACGGUAUAACCUACUGAAAAGAUUGUUACAACAAUUAAAAAUAAAGUGUCAAUUUUAAGCUUCACCUAUAAUUGUAAGUAGAUCAAUUUGUUUCGGUUGAGCUUCGGUCGUGCGCCUUCACGAAACGGAUUUUUGUUAACUAAAUAAUGAUCCAAUUCGUACAUCGUAUUCAAUAAUUUGACGUCACAUACAGCAUUCUGUAUUCGUGUUGUGCAUAGAUUAGUUUUAUACGAUAAAUUGUGGUAGAAUCUGUUGCAACACAGAACCUAAAGGUUGUCUGUCUCAAAAGGAGGCAUGGAAGGCGAUCAUCUUUGAAGGAAAAUGAACGCUAACUAUUGAAUUCUGCACACACUAAGAUAGGUAGCGAUAAAGUCAAAAUUCGUGAUCUAUAACAAAGGAGGGUACUAUAGCGGAUAACUACUUACGAUAGAGAAACACAUGGAUUCAAUUGGUCAAGGGAACGAAUGGCUGCAGAAGGCACAGAAGGCAAAUGGUCGUAGUUUUAAAGUGCAAUAACCUGUGUUCUAUCGAGGGUCGACCGUUUGUCUGUAAUCAUGUUCACCUAUGCCGAAUGAAAUUGUAGGAAAACGUAUACCUAUUGAGACAAAAUACAUAUUUUUAUUUCAA